AUUGAACGCUGGCGGCGUGCCUAACACAUGCAAGUCGAGCGGUAACAGGUGUAGCAAUACAUGCUGACGAGCGGCGAACGGGUGAGUAAUGCUUCGGAAUCUACCCAAUGGUGGGGGAAUAACCAGCCGAAAGGUUGGCUAAUACCGCAUACGUCCCACGGGAGAAAGCAGGGGAUCGCAAGACCUUGCGCCAAUGGAUGAGCCGAAGUCGGAUUAGCUAGCNGGUAGGGUAACGGCCUACCAAGGCGACGAUCCGUAGCUGGUCUGAGAGGACGACCAGCCACACUGGGACUGAGACACGGCCCAGACUCCUACGGGAGGCAGCAGUGGGGAAUAUUGGACAAUGGGGGGAAACCCUGAUCCAGCGACGCCGCGUGUGUGAAGAAGGCCUGCGGGUU
RNAcentral lists this ribosomal RNA (398 nucleotides) under uncultured bacterium. Its description in RNAcentral is "bacterial SSU rRNA". It matches the Rfam family "Bacterial small subunit ribosomal RNA", at positions 29 to 424 of the family's 1533-position model. The record is from RNAcentral.